This 48-nucleotide small nucleolar RNA is filed under the name Pyrobaculum islandicum DSM 4184. Its description in RNAcentral is "PISsR118". Lineage: Archaea; Thermoproteati; Thermoproteota; Thermoprotei; Thermoproteales; Thermoproteaceae. The record is from RNAcentral.
GUGACGAAGACUCGCAGCGCUGAGAGGUGAAGACGAACCGGGUUCCGA